GUGCUCAAUUAAGUAUAUUUUCUUUUUAAAUUUUGAGAAACGAACGAAUCUUUUGGCUUAAAUGGGACUGCCUUUGACUUUAAAAAAGUAAAACCGUGGAUAUAAUAUUAUGUAGAGAUAAAUAUGAGUCGAUCAAUACCUGAAUCCAAACAAUAAUCUAAUCGAAUUGAUUAACUUUAACAAAUCUCCUCCAGUAAACGUUGACAAGCCUAUUGUAAGUACAAAAAUGUGGGAAUCUUUGCGCUUGCUUUGAUACGACUGACCAAGAAAGCCGUCAAACUAUGAAUAAAUAUGAGCUUCUCGAGGAGCUGGAUUGAAAAAAAUCAAAAUUUUAAAUUAUAUGCUUCUUAGAACCUAUAUUGUCGAAAAAAAUUGGCUACUAAUGAAAAUAUACAUAUAUGUACGUGGUGGUAGAUGAAGAGUUGACAGAACUGCUACAAAAAUAUGAUUUAAGAAAAUAUCUAAACUAUGCACCAGACAUAGACAAAUUUAAGUUUUACAUAUAUCUUAUUAAGUGAAAGACAAAGAUUACUGUAGAAUUCAAUUGCUUGACAAAAACUGAGAAAUAAUAGUUCCGUGUAAACUCCUGAAAUCCCUACAGCUUACUACUGACAAAGGAAACAAAGACUUGCUUCGAAACGAUUUAUUUUUCGUUUAACUUUUACAACAUAUGGGACUUUUUUAUUAUAAUUUUUGGAAGGAACAAAUUUCUCUCAUUGAGCCAGUCACGGCUAAUUUUGUCACACCGCAGUUAAUUUAUGAGUGAAAGAUCUUCAUAUCAUUUCAUUUUUCUUUUUUCUUUUCUUCUAGAGCAAAAAGUAAGUUCUUUAUUAUAGUGAAACUAGACACUAAGUUUUUGUAUAUAUUGUUGGCCGUUAAAAUUAAGCUUAUUUUUAGCGAGAUGGAUGGAAUAUUAUAAAGAAAAUAUAAUUUACAAUUAGGAUAUAAAUAGUCGUGGGUAAUAGCGAUAAUCGUCUUCUGUUGUUUUCUUGAA
Schizosaccharomyces pombe (fission yeast) is the source of this 994-nucleotide non-coding RNA. Lineage: Eukaryota; Fungi; Ascomycota; Schizosaccharomycetes; Schizosaccharomycetales; Schizosaccharomycetaceae. The record is from the annotation of a GenBank genome assembly.